UAAGAAUAUCAUGUCUUUUGUAUUAAAGAAUUAAAUGGAUGAAAUAUGAAGUUUUAUUAAAAGAAAAAGGGGUGAAAAGAACAAAGUUUUGUCCAUCUUUGUUCAUCAUAGCUGAAAGUUAGAGAAGAGAAAGGAGAGGAGAAAGCUCUUGAGUAUUCGGUCAUUAGGAGGAGGAAAAUUGAAGGCGGUUCGUGUGUGGAUCUCGUCAGCAUAUCGUCGCAAACAGGUAAUCCCCAACCAUAGUGGGCUUGGAGCUGUGAGGGAAUUCGGAGUGGCCACCCGUUCUGAAAGUUUGAUUUUCUUCUGGUGAACUGGACAUCCUUUUAAUUACGUUUGAGGUUGUGGGCUUUUAAAUGUAAUAAAGCCGCUUAUUUAUUUUUGAUGGUUUUUAAUAUGUAUUACUAAGAUAGGUAAUACUUAUUCUAACUGUUGAAAUUGGAUAGCUUUAGGGCGCGUUUUCAAAAACAACAGUUGAUUUCAAAAUAACACGACAACAAGUAAAGCUUCCGCAAUGAAA
This is a long non-coding RNA of Gossypium arboreum, 517 nucleotides long. RefSeq lists it as uncharacterized. The record is from RefSeq and is a predicted model, not a curated record. The transcript has 3 exons. Lineage: Eukaryota; Viridiplantae; Streptophyta; Magnoliopsida; Malvales; Malvaceae.